CCUACGGGAGGCAGCAGUCGGGAAUAUUGCGCAAUGGAGGAAACUCUGACGCAGUGACGCCGCGUGCAGGAAGAAGGUUUUCGGAUUGUAAACUGCUUUAGACAGGGAAGAAAAAAGACAGUACCUGUAGAAUAAGCUCCGGCUAAAUACGUGCCAGCAGCCGCGGUAAUACGUAUGGUGCAAGCGUUAUCCGGAUUUACUGGGGGUAAAGGGAGCGCAGGCGGCGCGUUAAGCCUGGUGUGAAAGCCCGCGGCCCAACCGCGGGACUGCAUUUGGAACUGGCGCGCUGGAGUGCCGGAGGGGUAGGCGGAAUUCCUAGUGUAGCGGUGAAAUGCGUAGAUAUUAGGAGGAACACCAGUGGCGAAGGCGGCCUACUGGACGGUGACUGACGCUGAGGCUCGAAAGCGUGGGGAGCAAACAGGAUUAGAUACCCUGGUAGUC
Molecule: ribosomal RNA, 441 nt
Filed under: uncultured bacterium
Lineage: Bacteria
Description: partial 16S ribosomal RNA
Rfam family: Bacterial small subunit ribosomal RNA
Source: RNAcentral